UUCCUUUUAGCUCUAUUGGAUAGAUCGCGCGAUUCAUAAUCGCCCGGUCGCUGGUUCAGGUUCAGCAAGGGCCAGCA
This 77-nucleotide transfer RNA is filed under the name Buttiauxella sp. B2. RNAcentral describes it as "tRNA-Met". Lineage: Bacteria; Pseudomonadati; Pseudomonadota; Gammaproteobacteria; Enterobacterales; Enterobacteriaceae. The record is from RNAcentral.